RNAcentral lists this ribosomal RNA (468 nucleotides) under uncultured bacterium. RNAcentral's name for it is "partial 16S ribosomal RNA". It matches the Rfam family "Bacterial small subunit ribosomal RNA", at positions 28 to 507 of the family's 1533-position model. The record is from RNAcentral.
GACGAACGCUGGCGGCGUGCUUAACACAUGCAAGUCGAACGGAAAGGCUCCAGCUUGCUGGAGUACUCGAGUGGCGAACGGGUGAGUAACACGUGGGUGAUCUGCCCUGCACUUCGGGAUAAGCCUGGGAAACUGGGUCUAAUACCGGAUAGGACCGCACUUUGGUGUGUGUGGUGGAAAGGUUUUUCUGGUGUGGGAUGAGCUCGCGGCCUAUCAGUUUGUUGGUGGGGUAAUGGCCUACCAAGACGGCGACGGGUAGCCGGGCUGAGAGGGUGGACGGGCACAUUGGGACUGAGGUACGGCCCAGGCUCCUACGGGAGGCAGCAGGGGGGAAUAUUGCACAAUGGGGGAAACCCUGGUGCAGCGACGCCGCGUGGGGGAUGAAGGCCUUCGGGUUGUAAACUCCUUUCGCUAGGGACGAAGCUUUUUGUGACGGUACCUGGAGAAGAAGCACCGGCUAACUACGUG